Long non-coding RNA from Ictalurus furcatus (blue catfish), 773 nucleotides. RefSeq lists it as uncharacterized. The record is from RefSeq and is a predicted model, not a curated record. NCBI's taxonomy places the organism in Eukaryota, Metazoa, Chordata, Actinopteri, Siluriformes, Ictaluridae. The transcript is spliced from 3 exons.
GGGUUGCAGCUGCGACGUGACAAUUAACGACGUGUUUAUUCAAAGCGCACUGCGUCCCAGAGGACCCGCUGAGGUGCGAGUGACUUGUUGACUUCGAGCCGUGCAUUUAAAUAUCUCUCUCACACACACACGGACACGAAAUCGCGUUAACGUCGACAGAUUCCGAAUAUACGGCGGCGUUUAGCAUUCUGCCGUGACGUGAAUUAGCCACGCGCGGCUGCACACGUGACGGAGAGGAAAUGAGGAUUAAAAUCCGUGCCGGAUGUUCGGCUUGGACUUCCUCGGAGGACGAAACGUUCGUGACUGAUGAGAUGAAGUUCUCGAGCUUUGGACCCACGUGAUGUGCCCCGCGUGAGCUGCUGAUCCGAUGGCGUGUAAACCAAAUUCCUGCUUCCUGUUUCCUCUCUCAGGACGUGUGGGUUUGGGGUUUAGUGAAGUGUUGGAGAUUGAUUUGAUUUUUACUUCUGGUCCACUUCCUGUGAAAACGACAAGUUCAUCUGCAAACACGAAAAUAAUCACAGGCUUACUUUGAUGACGUUUUCCCUUAAUCGUUCAUUACAGUCUCUUUUUCCCCCUUUUCUCAUUUUAUCUGAAUUAAAUUCAUUAAAGAUAUAUAUUAAAUAGGUACGCGUAUUUGGGUAUCUAUAUCUAGCUAAUUAUAUACAGUGCCCUCCACUAAUAUUGGCACCCUCGGUAAAUAUGAGCAAGGAAGGCUGUGAAAAACUUCGAUCUUUUGUUCAAAUAAUUCACAAAAACUACUCUGCUCUCAUGGA